RNAcentral lists this ribosomal RNA (497 nucleotides) under uncultured bacterium. RNAcentral describes it as "partial 16S ribosomal RNA". It matches the Rfam family "Bacterial small subunit ribosomal RNA", at positions 28 to 507 of the family's 1533-position model. The record is from RNAcentral.
GACGAACGCUGGCGGCGUGCCUAAUACAUGCAAGUUGAGCGAUGAAGCUUGGUGCUUGCACCAAUUUGAAGAGCAGCGAACGGGUGAGUAACGCGUGGGGAAUCUGCCUUUGAGCGGGGGACAACAUGUGGAAACGAAUGCUAAUACCGCAUAACAACUUUAAACAUAAGUGUUAAGUUUGAAAGAUGCAAUUGCAUCACUCAAAGAUGAUCCCGCGUUGUAUUAGCUAGUUGGUGAGGUAAAGGAUCACCAAGGCGAUGAUGCAUAGCAGACCUGAGAGGGUGAUCAGCCGCAUUGGGACUGAGACACGGCCCAAAGUCCUACGGGAGGCAGCCAUAGGGAUUCUGCGGCCAUGGACGAAAGUCUGACCGCGCAACGCCGCGUGAGUGAAGAAGGUUUUCGGAUCGUAAAACUCUGUUGGUAGAGAAGAACGUUGGUGCGCGUGGAAAGAUCAUCAAGUGACGGUAACUACUAAGAAAGGGACGGCUAACUACGUG